GAGGAAACUCGGAUUAAUACCUGAUAUUCUUUAUUUCUCGCAUGAGAAUAAAAGGAAAGGUCAGCCGAACUAAGAUGAGCUCGCGUUCUAUCAGCUAGUUGGUGAGGUAAAAGCUCACCAAGGCUACGACGGAUAGCUGGUCUGAGAGGACGAUCAGCCACACUGGGACUGAGACACGGCCCAGACUCCUACGGGAGGCUGCAGCAGGGAAUAUUGCGCAAUGAGCGAAAGCUUGACGCAGCGACACCGCGUGUGGGAUGACGGAUCUAGGUUUGUAAACCACUUUCAGGAGGGAAGAAAAUGACGGUACCUCCACAAGAAGCCCCGGCCAACUACGUGCCAGCAGCCGCGGUAAUACGUAGGGGGCGAGCGUUGUCCGGAUUUAUUGGGCGUAAAGAGCUCGUAGGCGGUUCAACAAGUCGGUCGUGAAAGUUCAGGGCUCAACCCUGAAAUGUCGAUCGAUACUGUUGUGACUAGGAUACGGUAGAGGUGAGUGGAAUUCCGAGUGUAGCGGUGAAAUGCGUAGAUAUUCGGAGGAACACCAAUAGCGAAGGCAGC
Molecule: ribosomal RNA, 558 nt
Filed under: actinobacterium MS-B-52
Lineage: Bacteria; Bacillati; Actinomycetota; Actinomycetes
Description: bacterial SSU rRNA
Rfam family: Bacterial small subunit ribosomal RNA
Source: RNAcentral